This 753-nucleotide long non-coding RNA is filed under the name Ananas comosus (pineapple). RNAcentral's name for it is "long non-coding RNA (ACOM_LNC018835)". Lineage: Eukaryota; Viridiplantae; Streptophyta; Magnoliopsida; Poales; Bromeliaceae. The record is from RNAcentral.
AACAAACUAUCCGCUUAGUCCACUUUUUCGAAAUAAACUCAACUAAAAUGCGAAACAAGUAAAUUUUAAAUUUUAAAUUUUAUAUAUGAAUCAUCGGGAGAAAAUUUACUGUAUCACACUUAUAUCAUAUCAUUAAUAACAAGUCAAUCACAUCUCUCUAUUUGAGAAAAAAGAACGACAAAAAUAUUUUUCUAUUAAUCAUAAUGGAACGUAUCAAUCUAUAAAGGAUAAUUUCAUUAUUCGAAUACGUCACUUCAGCAAUAUAUCCGGUACAUUCUAGAUUUUUUCAAACAUGAGACCCUAAUAAAAGAGUCAUUAGGCUGCUUCUAGUAGGUUUACACAUGCAUCAGGUCUCUAGAAGCCAUGGAGAACAACAAAUUUCAAUUUCAAUUUCAAUUUCAAUUGAGGGUUCAACAAUGGUAGGUGGUAGAAGGGCUUCAUUAUUACAAAAGGGAAAACUUCAAAAAACCCCCCGUGGUUUCAUUGUUUCUUACUUUAAUACUCUGUGGUUUAAAGUGUACCAAUUUGUCCCCCUGUGGUUUUGUUUUUAUCUUUUCGGUAGCUUUUUCGUUAAUAUUUCAUUAAAUUAUAUACAAAAAACUUCAGAUACCCAUCUAGAUUUAUCAAAUAUUUACUUUAGUACUUUUUAAUUUUAACUUUAUCACUGAUUUAAGAAAAAAAAUAAUAAAAUUGAUAAGAAAAAGAGAAAAAAGAAACACAGGGGGGCAAAUUGAUAUAUUUUAAACCACAGGG